Non-coding RNA from Salmo salar (Atlantic salmon), 54 nucleotides. NCBI's taxonomy places the organism in Eukaryota, Metazoa, Chordata, Actinopteri, Salmoniformes, Salmonidae. The record is from Rfam.
UGCAAACAUAGCUGUCAGUCGCUUUGGAUAAAAGUGUCUGCUAAAUGGCUCAUA